GAAGUCGGAAUUGCUAGUAAUCGCGGAUCAGCAUGCCGCGGUGAAUACGUUCCCGGGCCUUGUACACACCGCCCGUCACACCAUGAGAGCCGGUAAUACCCGAAGUCAGUAGUCUAACCGCAAGGAGGACGCUGCCGAAGGUAGGAUUGGCGAUUGGGGUGAAGUCGUAACAAGGUAUC
Molecule: ribosomal RNA, 179 nt
Filed under: uncultured bacterium
Lineage: Bacteria
Description: partial 16S ribosomal RNA
Rfam family: Bacterial small subunit ribosomal RNA
Source: RNAcentral